This 312-nucleotide ribosomal RNA is filed under the name Eukoenenia sp. AP-2010. RNAcentral describes it as "eukaryotic LSU rRNA". It matches the Rfam family "Eukaryotic large subunit ribosomal RNA", at positions 666 to 944 of the family's 3401-position model. The record is from RNAcentral. Lineage: Eukaryota; Metazoa; Arthropoda; Arachnida; Palpigradi; Eukoeneniidae.
CCAAGGAGUCUAACAUGUGUGCGAGUCAUUGGGUCUUGAAUAAGCCCAAAGGCGAAAUGAGAGUGAAGGCCAGGCCAAUCGGCCGGCUAGGUUGGGAUCCUCCGUCCAAGUGGCGGGGGCGCACCAACUUCCCGUCCCGUCCGCGGUGUCGGUGGGGCGGAGAAGGAGCAGACAUGUUGGGACCCGAAAGAUGGUGAACUAUGCCUGGGCAGGACGAAGCCAGAGGAAACUCUGGUGGAGGUCCGCAGCGAUUCUGACGUGCAAAUCGAUCGUCAGACCUUGGUAUAGGGGCGAAAGACUAAUCGAACCAUC